RNAcentral lists this unclassified non-coding RNA (327 nucleotides) under plant metagenome. RNAcentral's name for it is "partial contains 5.8S ribosomal RNA, internal transcribed spacer 2, and large subunit ribosomal RNA". The stretch from base 1 to 105 matches the Rfam family "5.8S ribosomal RNA", at positions 50 to 154 of the family's 154-position model. The record is from RNAcentral.
GAAAUGCGAUACGUAGUGUGAAUUGCAGAAUUCAGUGAAUCAUCGAAUCUUUGAACGCACAUUGCGCCCUUUGGUAUUCCAAAGGGCAUGCCUGUUCGAGCGUCAUUUGUACCCUCAAGCUUUGCUUGGUGUUGGGCGUCUUUUUGUCUCUCCCCUUGUUGGGGGAGACUCGCCUUAAAACGAUUGGCAGCCGACCUACUGGUUUUCGGAGCGCAGCACAAAUUUGCGCCUUCCAAUCCACGGGGCGGCAUCCAGCAAGCCUUUAUUUUCUAUAACAAAUCCACAUUUUGACCUCGGAUCAGGUAGGGAUACCCGCUGAACUUAAGC